RNAcentral lists this ribosomal RNA (478 nucleotides) under uncultured bacterium. RNAcentral's name for it is "partial 16S ribosomal RNA". It matches the Rfam family "Bacterial small subunit ribosomal RNA", at positions 28 to 523 of the family's 1533-position model. The record is from RNAcentral.
GACGAACGCUGGCGGCGUGCUUAACACAUGCAAGUCGAACGGUAAGGCCCUUCGGGGUACACGAGUGGCGAACGGGUGAGUAACACGUGGGUGAUCUGCCCUGCACUUCGGGAUAAGCCUGGGAAACUGGGUCUAAUACCGGAUAGGACCACUGCCUGCAUGGGUGGUGGUGGAAAGCUUUUGCGGUGUGGGAUGGGCCCGCGGCCUAUCAGCUUGUGGGUGGGGUGAUGGCCUACCAAGGCGACGACGGGUAGCCGGCCUGAGAGGGUGACCGGCCACACUGGGACUGAGAUACGGCCCAGACGCCUACGGGAGGCAGCAGUGGGGAAUAUUGCACAAUGGGCGCAAGCCUGAUGCAGCGACGCCGCGUGAGGGAUGACGGCCUUCGGGUUGUAAACCUCUUUCAGCACCGACGAAGCGCAAGUGACGGUAGGUGCAGAAGAAGGGCCGACCAACUACGUGCCAGCCGCCGCUGUAA